GACGAACGCUGGCGGCGUGCUUAACACAUGCAAGUCGAACGGAAAGGCCCUGCUUUUGUGGGGUGCUCGAGUGGCGAACGGGUGAGUAACACGUGUGUAACCUGCCCUUGUUUUUGGGAUAACUUCAGGAAACUGGGGCUAAUACCGGAUCGGAUCUCCUGCUGCAUGGUGGGGGUUGGAAAGUUUCGGCGGUUGGGGAUGGAUUAGCGGGUUAUCAGCUGGCUGGUGGGGUAGUGGCUGACCAAGGCUUUGACGGAUAGCCGGCCUGAGAGGGUGAACGGCCUCAAUGGGACUGAGGGAGGGCGCAGUCUGCUACGGGAGGCAGCGGUGGGAAGUAUUGCACAGUGAUCGGAAGCCUGUGGCGGCAGCGCUGCGGGCGGGAUGCCGUCCUUCGGGGUGAGAACCGCUUUCGCCUGUGACGAAGCGUGUGUGACGGUAAUGAGUGAAGAAGCACCGGCUAACUACGUG
This 468-nucleotide ribosomal RNA is filed under the name uncultured bacterium. Its description in RNAcentral is "partial 16S ribosomal RNA". It matches the Rfam family "Bacterial small subunit ribosomal RNA", at positions 28 to 507 of the family's 1533-position model. The record is from RNAcentral.